Molecule: ribosomal RNA, 459 nt
Filed under: uncultured bacterium
Lineage: Bacteria
Description: partial 16S ribosomal RNA
Rfam family: Bacterial small subunit ribosomal RNA
Source: RNAcentral
CCUACGGGAGGCAGCAGUGAGGAAUAUUGGUCAAUGGGCGCGAGCCUGAACCAGCCAAGUCGCGUGAGGGAAGACGGUCCUAUGGAUUGUAAACCUCUUUUGUCAGGGAGCAAAAGACGCCACGUGUGGCGUUCCGAGAGUACCCGAAGAAAAAGCAUCGGCUAACUCCUUGCCAGCAGCCGCGGUAAUACGGAGGAAGCGAGCGUUAUCCGGAUUUAUUGGGUUUAAAGGGUGCGCAGGCGGAAGAUCAAGUCAGCGGUAAAAUUGAGGGGCUCAACCUCGUCGAGCCGUUGAAACUGGUGUUCUUGAGUGGGCGAGAAGUAUGCGGAAUGCGUGGUGUAGCGGUGAAAUGCAUAGAUAUCACGCAGAACUCUGAUUGCGAAGGCAGCAUACCGGCGCUCAACUGACGCUCAUGCACGAAAGUGUGGGUAUCGAACAGGAUUAGAUACCCGAGUAGUC